AGAGUUUGAUCCUGGCUCAGGAUGAACGCUGGCGGCGUGCCUAACACAUGCAAGUCGAGCGAUUUACUUCCGUCAAAAGCGGCGGACGGGUGAAUAGCGCAUGGGUAACCUGCCUCAUACCCAUGGAUAACAUACCAAACGGUAUGCUAGUACAAGAUGAUAUAAGAGAAUCGCAUGGAUUUCUUAUCAAAGCUCCGGCGGAAUGAGAUGGACCCACAUCUGAUCACCUAGUUGGAAAGGUAACGGCUUACCACGGCGACGAUCAGUAACCAACCUGAGACGAUGAUCGGCCACGUUGGAACUGAUACACAGUACAAACUCCUACAGAAGGCAGCAGUGGGGAAUAUUGCACAAUGGGCGAAAGCCUGAUGCACCCACACCCCGUGACCGAUGAAGGCCUUCGGGUCGCAUCGCUCUGUCCUCCUCGAACAUAAUGACGGAACUUGACGAGGAAGCCCCAGCUAACUACGUGCCACCACCCGCGGUAAUACGUAGGGGGCUAGCGGUAUCCAGAUUUACUGGGCGUAAAGGGUGGGUAGGUGGUUUCUUAAGUCAAGAGUGAAAGGCUGCGGCUCACCCGGUAGUAAGCUCUCGAAACUGGGAGACUAGAGUGCAGGAGAGGAAAGUGGAAUUCCAUGUGUAGCGGUGAAAUGCGUAGAGAUAUGGAGGAACACCAGUGGCGAAGGCGGCUUUCUGGUCUGUAACUGACACUGAGGUGCGAAAGCGUGGGGAGCAAACAGGAUUAGAUACCCUGGUAGUCCACGCCGUAAACGAUGAGUGCUAAGUGUUGGGGGUGGAACCUCAGUGCUGAAGUUAACGCAUCAAGCACUCCUCCUGGGGAGGACGGUCGCAAGACUGAAACUCAAAGGAAUAGACGGGGACCCGCACAACCGGUGGAGCAUGUGGUUUAAUUAGAAGCAACGCGAAGAACCUCACCAGGUCUUGACAUACCAUCGACCGUUCUCGAGAUAGGAUUUUCCUUUCUGGGACAAUGGAUACAGGUGGUGCAUGGUUGUUGUCAGCUCGUGUUGUGAGAUGUUGGGGUAAGUCCCGCCACGAGCGCAACCCCUGUCGUUAGUUGCCAGCAUUCAGUUGGGGACUCUAACGAGACUGCCAGUGACAAACUGGAGGAAGGGGGGGGUGACGUCAAAUCAUCCUUCCCCCUAUGACCUGGGCUACCCCCCUGCUACAAUGGUUGGUACAAAGAGAAGGGAAGCGGUGACGGGGAGCAAACCUCAUAAAACCAAUCUCAGUUCGGAUUGUAGGCUGCAACUCGCCUACAUGAAGCUGGAGUUACUAGUAAUCGCAGAUCAGAAUGCUGCGGUGAAUGCGUUCCCGGGUCUUGCACUCACCGCCCGUCA
RNAcentral lists this ribosomal RNA (1361 nucleotides) under uncultured bacterium. Its description in RNAcentral is "partial 16S ribosomal RNA". It matches the Rfam family "Bacterial small subunit ribosomal RNA". The record is from RNAcentral.